CAGUAGCCGCGGUAAUACGUAGGGUGCAAGCGUUAAUCGGAAUUACUGGGCGUAAAGCGUGCGCAGGCGGUUUGUUAAGACAGAUGUGAAAUCCCCGGGCUCAACCUGGGAACUGCAUUUGUGACUGGCAAGCUAGGGUAUGGCAGAGGGGGGUGGAAUUCCGCGUGUAGCAGUGAAAUGCGUAGAUAUGCGGAGGAACACCGAUGGCGAAGGCAGCCCCCUGGGCCAAUACUGACGCUCAUGCACGAAAGCGUGGGGAGCAAACAGGAUUAGAUACCCCAGUAGUCCCUGUCUCUUAUAC
Molecule: ribosomal RNA, 301 nt
Filed under: uncultured bacterium
Lineage: Bacteria
Description: partial 16S ribosomal RNA
Rfam family: Bacterial small subunit ribosomal RNA
Source: RNAcentral